AGAGUUUGAUUCUGGCUCAGAACGAACGCUGGCGGCGCGCCUAACACAUGCAAGUCGAACGAGAAUCCGGGGCAACCCGGUAGUAAAGUGGCAAACGGGUGAGGAAUACAUGGGUAACCUACCCUUGAGAAGGGAAUAACCCGCCGAAAGGUGAGCUAAUACCCUAUACGCUUUACUCUUCAUGGAGAGUAAAGGAAAGUUAAGCCGUGGGCUUGGCACUCAAGGAGGGGCUCAUGUCCUAUCAGCUUGUUGGUGGGGUAAUGGCCUACCAAGGCUACGACGGGUAGCUGGUCUGAGAGGAUGAUCAGCCACACUGGCACUGAGAUACGGGCCAGACUCCUACGGGAGGCAGCAGUGAGGAAUAUUGCGCAAUGGGCGAAAGCCUGACGCAGCGACGCCGCGUGGGGGAUGAAGGUUUUCGGAUUGUAAACCCCUUUUGUGAGGAAAGAUAAAGUGGGUAACCACUUAGACGGUACCUCAAGAAAAAGCCACGGCUAACUUCGUGCCAGCAGCCGCGGUAAUACGAAGGUGGCGAGCGUUGUUCGGAUUUACUGGGCGUAAAGAGCACGUAGGCGGUUGGGUAAGCCUCUUGGGAAAGCUCCCGGCUUAACCGGGAAAGGUCGAGGGGAACUACUCAGCUAGAGGACGGGAGAGGAGCGCGGAAUUCCCGGUGUAGCGGUGAAAUGCGUAGAUUUCGGGAAGAAGGCCGGUGGCGAAGGCGGCGCUCUGGAACGUWCCUGACGCUGAGGUGCGAAAGCGUGUGGAGCAAACAGGAUUAGAUACCCUUGG
Molecule: ribosomal RNA, 789 nt
Filed under: uncultured Nitrospira sp.
Lineage: Bacteria; Pseudomonadati; Nitrospirota; Nitrospiria; Nitrospirales; Nitrospiraceae
Description: bacterial SSU rRNA
Rfam family: Bacterial small subunit ribosomal RNA
Source: RNAcentral